ACCUGACUGGCUCAGUCCAUAGAGCAUAUGACUCUUGAUCUCAGGGUUGUGAGUUCAAAUCCCAUAUUAGGUA
RNAcentral lists this transfer RNA (73 nucleotides) under Ailuropoda melanoleuca (giant panda). It matches the Rfam family "tRNA". Rfam says of the family: Transfer RNA (tRNA) molecules are approximately 80 nucleotides in length. Their secondary structure includes four short double-helical elements and three loops (D, anti-codon, and T loops). Further hydrogen bonds mediate the characteristic L-shaped molecular structure. tRNAs have two regions of fundamental functional importance: the anti-codon, which is responsible for specific mRNA codon recognition, and the 3' end, to which the tRNAs corresponding amino acid is attached (by aminoacyl-tRNA synthetases). tRNAs cope with the degeneracy of the genetic code in two manners: having more than one tRNA (with a specific anti-codon) for a particular amino acid; and 'wobble' base-pairing, i.e. permitting non-standard base-pairing at the 3rd anti-codon position. Lineage: Eukaryota; Metazoa; Chordata; Mammalia; Carnivora; Ursidae. The record is from Rfam by way of RNAcentral.